Molecule: ribosomal RNA, 582 nt
Filed under: uncultured bacterium
Lineage: Bacteria
Description: bacterial SSU rRNA
Rfam family: Bacterial small subunit ribosomal RNA
Source: RNAcentral
AGUCGAACGAGAAUUGAAUUUUCGGAUGUUGCUGAGUGGCGGACGGGUGAGUAACGCGUGGAUACCUGCCUCACACUGGGGGAUAACAGUUAGAAAUGACUGCUAAUACCGCAUAAGACCGCAUGGUAAAAACUCCGGUGGUGUGAGAUGGAUCCGCGUCUGAUUAGCCAGUUGGCGGGGUAACGGCCCACCAAAGCGACGAUCAGUAGCCGACCUGAGAGGGUGACCGGCCACAUUGGGACUGAGACACGGCCCAAACUCCUACGGGAGGCAGCAGUGGGGAAUAUUGCACAAUGGGGGAAACCCUGAUGCAGCGACGCCGCGUGAGGAAGAAGUAUUUCGGUAUGUAAACUCUAUCAGCAGGGAAGAUAAUGACGGUACCUGACUAAGAAGCCCCGGCUAACUACGUGCCAGCAGCCGCGGUAAUACGUAGGGGGCAAGCGUUAUCCGGAUUUACUGGGUGUAAAGGGAGCGUAGACGGCAUGGCAAGUCUGAAGUGAAAGCCCGGGGCUCAACCCGGGACUGCUUUGGAAACUGUCAAGCUAGAGUGCAGGAGAGGUAAGUGGAAUUCCUAGUGUAGCG